UGCCUAUUCAGUGUCAAAUCUAUCCAUAAGCGAACAGCAGCUAGUAGCAGUAAGAAUUGAGAAAAGAUAAUAACAGUGACAACAGUUAUUUAAUACAAAGGGAACUAAAAGCAAGAGGCGAGUUCUAUAAAAAAAAAUGUCAAAUCUAUCCAUAAGCGAACAGCAGCUAGUAGCAGUAAGAAUUGAGAAAAGAUAAUACCAGUGACAACAGUUAUUUAAUACAAAGGGAACUAAAAGCAAGAGGCGAGUUCUAUAAAAAAAAAUGUCAAGUCUAUCCAUAAACUAACAGAAGCUAAGAUCAGUAACAACUGAGAAGAGAUAAUAGUGACAACCGUUAUUUAAUACAAGAAGAACUGAAAGAAAGAAGCGAGUUCUAUAAAAACUGCACAAAUAAAAGAUUGUGGCAAAUAAUCGACAAACCAAGUGGUAUAAAUUCAAACCGAAAAAACAAAAUAUCACACAAGCAGAGACUAUGGACGACGAACAGAGUAGUCAGAAGAAACCUACAAAUCGUCAGAGGGAACCUGGGCUUCAGCCUCCUAUGGGCGAAGGACAGAGUAGUCAGAGGAAACCUGGGCUUCAGCCUCUUAUGGGCGAAGGACAGAGUAGUCAGAAGAAACCUGCGCCCCAGCCUCCAGUAAAUACCAAUGAUUUUAAAUGCCCAUAUGAUAAUCAAUCUUUUAACACAGCCGAUGAGCUUCACGAACAUAUGUAUAUCGCUCAUUUCUCUUCUUCGGCACCAGACCCAUAUCCUAAACAAUGAACAUAUCGCAUCAAUUUAAAGUAAUCAUGAUGACUGACAACGGCUUAUUUAAUUUCAUUCUCUUUUCUUUUCUUUUUUGGUCUGUAAAGUCUGACAUUAAUUUUUUAAUAUAUUGCGUCCACUUGUACGAUAGCUGAUAACUUCGAUUCAUACUGUAUAUGCGACACAAUUAAUACGCAGAAAGAAUUUUGUCUUAAAAUUUAUCCUGAAAUUCAUGGCAAUCAUAGGAUAAUAACAAAUUGCAAGAAUUUUAAAAACGUUUCCCUGAGAUUAGUAUUUUUAUCAUAAUAACAAAAAUUACCUUCUACAAUAAGAUAUAAAAAUG
Nylanderia fulva is the source of this 1088-nucleotide non-coding RNA. The record is from RefSeq and is a predicted model, not a curated record. Lineage: Eukaryota; Metazoa; Arthropoda; Insecta; Hymenoptera; Formicidae.